CCCUUCCUCCCCUCCUGGAACCCCACCCCUGUGGCCUUGCCUCCUUCCCCUAAGCAGUGCCCCCUACACACACUCCUCCCCAUGAGUGCUCCCCGUGGCUCCUCAGCCGCCACCUGUGCACGUAGUUGUGGGAGUGGAGGUGCGCCAGCCCGCGGGCGAUCUCCAGGCCCAUCCUCUGCAGUGUCCGCAGGUCUCGAGGGGGCAGCUCAGGGGACAGGCCCUCGGGGGGCCGCUGGGCCCGGAGGAAGAACCCGAGGCUCAGAGAGGGAAAUUCUCUUGACUGAGUGGCACAGCCAGGAAGAGGUGGAUCCGGAUUCGAACCCAGAUGCGAGAUCCUGUGACGUGACCUCAGCCUGCCACUGGCUGUCUCUGAGAUUGAGAUCCAGGAUGACCUCACCAUGGACUGCCCCACAAGAACUCCCAGAGCUGGUUUCAGAUUAAGGGAUCGCUUCCACCAAGAUGAUCUCUGACUCCCUAUGGGCUGCUUCCAAGAUUCUGCGGCUCCCAUCUCUGCCUUUCCCCUCGGCCGCCCGGGGCCUCAGCUCCCUGGCCCCUGAGGGGAGACUCUCGGGGCCUUCCAUCCCAUCCCUGGGGCCGUGGGGUCCUCGUCAAGGUGCCGGGCAGUACCUGAGUGUGAAGGCUGCGGGGCAGGCAUCGGCAGGGAGACCUCGGCCAGCGGGAGAAUGUAGACAUCAGGCAGCGACUGUGAGGAGGAGGUCUCCUCCGCUGGCGGAGUGUACUCCCCGGAGCAAUCCUCCCCUUCAGGGUUCUCAAACUCCUGGGGCCGGGAGGGGUGAGAGGUGGAAGAACAUAGGGCUGAGA
This is a non-coding RNA of Equus caballus (horse), 822 nucleotides long. The record is from RefSeq and is a predicted model, not a curated record. Lineage: Eukaryota; Metazoa; Chordata; Mammalia; Perissodactyla; Equidae.